GAUGAACGCUGGCGGCAUGCCUAACACAUGCAAGUCGAACGAAGCACUUGAGUAGCUUGCUAUGAGAGUGACUUAGUGGCGAACGGGUGAGUAAUGCAUGAGCAACCUGCCCUUCAGUGGGGGACAACAGUUGGAAACGACUGCUAAUACCGCAUAACACUUCCGGAAGGCAUCUUUUGGAAGUCAAAGAUUUAUUGCUGAAGGAUGGGCUCAUGUCUGAUUAGCUAGUUGGUGAGGGAACGGCUCACCAAGGCGACGAUCAGUAGCCGGUCUGAGAGGAUGAACGGCCAUAUUGGGACUGAGAUACGGCCCAGACUCCUACGGGAGGCAGCAGUGGGGAAUAUUGGGCAAUGGGGGAAACCCUGACCCAGCAAUGCCGCGUGAAGGAAGAAGGCCUUCGGGUUGUAAACUUCUUUUACCGAGGACGAAACAAAUGACGGUACUCGGCGAAUAAGCUCCGGCUAACUACGUGCCAGCAGCCGCGGUAAUACGUAGGGAGCAAGCGUUAUCCGGAUUUACUGGGUGUAAAGGGCGCGUAGGCGGGAUGGCAAGUCAGAUGUGAAAUCUCAGGGCUCAACCCUGAAACUGCAUUUGAAACUGUCGUUCUUGAGUACUGGAGAGGUUGACGGAAUUCCUAGUGUAGCGGUGAAAUGCGUAGAUAUUAGGAGGAACACCAGUGG
RNAcentral lists this ribosomal RNA (680 nucleotides) under uncultured bacterium. Its description in RNAcentral is "bacterial SSU rRNA". It matches the Rfam family "Bacterial small subunit ribosomal RNA", at positions 28 to 715 of the family's 1533-position model. The record is from RNAcentral.